Molecule: ribosomal RNA, 503 nt
Filed under: Lygodactylus chobiensis (Okavango dwarf gecko)
Lineage: Eukaryota; Metazoa; Chordata; Lepidosauria; Squamata; Gekkonidae
Description: partial large subunit ribosomal RNA
Rfam family: Bacterial large subunit ribosomal RNA
Source: RNAcentral
GUGAGACUCUUUAACGGNCGCGGUAUCCUAACCGUGCAAAGGUAGCGCAAUCCCUUGUCCUCUAAUUGAGGACUAGUAUGAAAGGCACCAUGAGGGCUCAACUGUCUCCUAGAACCCAACAAUGAAAUUGAACCCCCAGUCCAAACGCUGGGAUGAACACAUAANACGAGAAGACCCUGUGGAACUUCAACUAUUAUACUAGCAGCCACCCUCCCCCUACAUCACUCCCCCUANUAAAAUUUUCGGUUGGGGCAACCGUGGAGUAAAAUAAAACCUCCAUUACCACGACUAAUCAUCGAAUCAAAGGCCUACACGCUACUGAAACACUAUCUGAUCCGGCACAGCCGACCAACGAACCAAGCUACCCCAGGGAUAACAGCGCCAUCUCCUUCAAGAGUUCUUAUCGUCAGGGGGGUUUACGACCUCGAUGUUGGAUCAGGACCCCCUGGUGGUGUAGCCGCUACCAACGGCUCGUUUGUUCAACGAAUAAUGUCCUACGUGAU